ACGAACGCUGGCGGCGUGCUUCACACAUGCCAGUCGAACGGAAAGGCCCUGCUUUUGUGGGGUGCUCGAGUGGCGAACGGGUGAGUAACACGUGAGUAACCUGCCCUUGACUUUGGGAUAACUUCAGGAAACUGGGGCUAAUACCGGAUAGGAGCUCCUGCUGCAUGGUGGGGGUUGAAAGUUUCGGCGGUUGGGGAUGGACUCGCGGCUUAUCAGCUUGUUGGUGGGGUAGUGGCUUACCAAGGCUUUGACGGGUAGCCGGCCUGAGAGGGUGACCGGCCACAUUGGGACUGAGAUACGGCCCAGACUCCUACGGGAGGCAGCAGUGGGGAAUAUUGCACAAUGGGCGGAAGCCUGAUGCAGCAACGCCGCGUGCGGGAUGACGGCCUUCGGGUUGUAAACCGCUUUCGCCUGUGACGAAGCGUGAGUGACGGUAAUGGGUAAAGAAGCACCGGCUAACUACGUG
RNAcentral lists this ribosomal RNA (466 nucleotides) under uncultured bacterium. RNAcentral's name for it is "partial 16S ribosomal RNA". It matches the Rfam family "Bacterial small subunit ribosomal RNA", at positions 29 to 507 of the family's 1533-position model. The record is from RNAcentral.